GGGAAGGAGAGGCUGGGAUGUUGUCUUCUAUGGAAAGAAAUUGAUAGAUUGUGAAGAGCUGCCUCUGAGAAACAGCCACAAACAGGUUGAGAGCUUGUGGGUAAAACUCAGGGACAGGACCAAUAAAGGACACGUUAUGGUUAGGGUCUACUUCAGGCCACUUGACGAAAGGAAGCCUGUUGACAGGGUCCUCUUGAUUCAGGUACAAGAAGCAUCACAUUCACAGGCUCUCAUCCUAAUGGGGGACUUCGACCACCCUGAUGUCUGCUAGGAAAGCAACACAGCAGGCUGUAAGCAAUCCGGGAGACUCUUAGAGCAUGUUGAGGAUAACUUUCUGGUCCAGGUCCUGCUGAAAUGACCACAAUUGCAAUGUGAUGGGCUCUUCCCACAGAGAUGGUUCUUACUUCAGCUGCCUAUGCAAGUUGUUGCUAUCGUAACCUGCUUUAAGGCAUCGUGCUGAACACGGAUUCAAUUUCUAAAGCACCUGAAGGUACUGUCAGUAUUAAGGAAGCAUGCCAAAGCUGUCAUCGAGUAGUCUACAGCAAAAGAUGGUACAAAGCUGAGCUGCAAGUCAAAAAUUAAGAAUCUUUUAAGAUGUUCAACAGAAAGUGAUGUAGCCAUAAGGACUUACCCAGAGCGAAAACCGCUGUAGCAGUUACACUGAACAUAGAGCACAGAAGAGAACAUUCUGAUAGUGUUAAAAAAACAGACCUUUAUACCUUAAAUUGAUUCCCUCCUGGAAAAUAUUUUAUUUUUCAUUUCAUGAAAACUGCCAAUUAUGGAAGUUCCAGAGUAAACAUGUGAGUCGUUU
Molecule: long non-coding RNA, 811 nt
Organism: Cygnus olor (mute swan)
Lineage: Eukaryota; Metazoa; Chordata; Aves; Anseriformes; Anatidae
Exons: 3
Source: RefSeq, a predicted model, not a curated record